Zeugodacus cucurbitae (melon fly) is the source of this 6863-nucleotide RNA transcript. RefSeq lists it as uncharacterized. NCBI's taxonomy places the organism in Eukaryota, Metazoa, Arthropoda, Insecta, Diptera, Tephritidae. The record is from RefSeq and is a predicted model, not a curated record. The transcript has 8 exons.
UGUAGCUAUAAAAUUAAAAAAAUAAAUAAAUUCUGCCUAAAAAAUAAACAGCAAAUACUAAUAAAAUAUUCAAAAUCGUAAAAACAAAAAAUGCUAAUAAAAUAACAACUAAAUUAGAAACAUUAAUAUAAACUCAAGUGUGAACACGCCAUUAAUUGCUUGCACAGCUGUAAUCGUACAACUUACAUGUGACAGUUCGAUUACGAAAGAAAAUCAAAUAAACAAUUCAGCAAUUUUAGUUCAAACUUUGAUUGCAACAUAAAUGAAAAUGAGAGAUAUAGGCGCAGCAAUAAAAAAGCAAUAAUGAGUGAAAUAAACGAAAAAUGCUUCGAAAAACAUCUGUGCUGUAGAAAUUCACAUACAAUGAUUAACUAGAAAUCCAUAGACUUUUGCUUUCUGACGCCUCAAAGCAAUAAUACAAUUGUGUUUACAACAAUAAAAUGCCAGCAAAAAAAAAAAUACAUAUGGUGGAUUGUAGCUGCUGUUGCAUGCCUUCAAUCAGCAAUCAAGUGAAAGCUAAUUAAAGGAAAAAUCAAGAAAAUGGAAAAGUGAAACAAAAAAAUUGAUGGCUCAUGCAGGCACUUAACGAUAAAAUUUGGAGAAUGAAAAAAAGAACUGGUUUUCUCAUAACGAAAAAGUAAGCAGUUUGCCGGCAUAAAUGUAGGAGCGUCGAGGCAAAUAACUUGAACAACAAUUGAAAUACGAUGAGUGCGCGCUUACAUACACAACGCACAUAUGUACAUGUAUAUCGGGCAAUACAGAAAUCAACAAAAAACAUCAAAAGCAUACUGGAGUAUCAUUAAAUCUGUUCCAUACACAUCAUAAGAAUUUCUCAAUAAGAAACAACAAAAAUCACCAAAGCAUACUGGAGGAGUAUCAAUAAUUCUGUUCUAUACACAUCAUAAGUAUUUCUUCAAUAUUAGAAACCAACAAAAAACACCAAAAGCUUACUGGAGUGGCAAUAAUUCUGUUCUAUACACAUCAUAAGAAUUUCUCAAUAAGAAACAACAAAAAUCAUUAAAGCAUACUGGAGUGUAAAUAAUUCUGUUCCAUACACAUCAUAAGAAUUUCUUAAUAUUAGCGGUAAUGCUACAAGGCUUCAGAGCAGUGAAAAGGUAGCGGUGCCAACGAGGACGGGUCCAUUGGGCGCUUACAUUAGAGUGUGGAAGCCGUCGUGUUGCGCACAUGCACCGACAAGCUGCGUCGCAUAGGCAGGCGAUUGACUCGAACGACAACCGUACCUGAGCGCAGAGACAGCAACUGGUAGCUAGCAGGGCAGCAGAUUUCCUACAUUUCGGUGCCUGCUUUCGAUUUGCUGAUACCGACGCGCAACCUGGCGCACUACGAUUAUGCGCAAUAUUGCCGUUCAUUAUGCGGAGCGCCUACUGAUUUUGGCCGAUGUACCGUAUCUACGCAAGCUGCCCGCUUUGUUGAAGCGCGCUUAGCUAGAGCUGCUGGUGCAGUUUUUAGGCGCACUUCGAGGUGCGUCUACACGACGAGGAGCAGCGCGACUACUGCUUACAUCACCUGCACACUUUUCUGCCAGCGGAACUAACGGAGCUUUUCAUGCGCCUGCAGUACGGUGACACUGGGUAUACUAAUUAUAUGGCGCCGAACGCGACGCGCUCACUAAAGGAAGCGCCAAAUACCAGCAGAGCUCAUCUGCCAUCCGCUAUAUAGCUAAUCGACAACCACGAUGCGAAUUUGCUGAAAUUGUGGCGCUGGUGUACGCACAGCUAACUCAAUGAAGUACUCGAGACGCUGCUCACAGGACGCUGUGAACGCCUACAAUCGCCUGAAGAAGAACGCCAUCGCAUUGCCUAUAGGUAUUUUGCGCGCGCCCUUCUACCACAGCUGUCUGGAGCCCGCGAAAGUAUACGGAGCUCAUCGCGCACGAAGCACCAAGCGGGAAAUGCGGUGAGAACGAGAAUAUCGCCGAUACGGAGGGCCUGCGCCUCGCUAUCGAGACCUACCGACGCAGUGCGAGAGAAAAUGCUACGCUAACGGCGGUGCAGCUCAAGCUGCUUCGCGCAGACGUGUUGCGGCACAAGCGCGUCAACCUCGAUGACGGCGUACCGAUGCGGCAAGCAGAGCCCCAUAUAUCUGCCGUAAAAAUGCAGCAUAUGGAUCGAGGAGUAGCGGAACGGAGCGCGCAGGGCCUAUAAAUUGCUGUACAGCUUUAUAUUGCAUUGUAUAUAUCGUUUUUUUGUAGAUUUCAAUAAAAUUUUGCAUAUAGCAUUUAAAACGAGCGUCGUUUUUGGUUUUUAUCGGGGUGGUGGGGGUGUAGCCUAAAUUCGGUGCACCCGGUAUACCUAAAAAUCCACUAGCAAGGCUACUGCGUGCGAAACGCGCUCAAAAAAGGGUGGAUCGCAUGGGAUCUGUAGUAAAAUCCAGCAAACCAUUGCUGUGGAUCGUUAUUAGUGACCAUUUACACCUAAAAUCGAGGGUUUUUCGUUCGGGGACCGAUAUUCUGAGCAUUCUACCCCAUUUUUUGCCACAAAUCGCUUCAUAAUUCGAUAUACUAGUGUAAUAUGGUCGAAUAAAAUGCUGGGAAGCGAGAUUUCCCCUUUUUGAAGCCGUUUUAUUGCCCUAAAAUGCGGGGGAAAGCAGUAUCCCACUUUUUGUGCUAAAAUUUGGGACCUAAACCGUUUUUGCUACGAAUUUUGUACUAAAUUCUGCAGAUACAGCUGCUGGAAUCCGUUCUAGAUAGCUCGUGCUGCUUCCUAUAGCCUUUUGGAAGCUUUCUAGCCGUGGGAUUUUGCAGAAAACCGGCUUUUGUAGGCUGGGUUUAGGUAAAAUGAGCUCAAAAAGGGUGCUACUGCAUUCAGAACCCCAUUCUGGAAGCAAUUUCUAGUAGAAUUUAGCAGAAAAUCCGCUUUUGGAGCCUGGGUUUAGGCAAAAGCAGCUCAAAAAGGGUGCUACACCCCAUUCUAGAAGCAAAUUCUACUAGAAAUUGCUUCCAGAAUGGGGUUCUGAAUGCAGUAGCACCCUUUUUGAGCUGCUUUUGCCUAAACCUAGCCUACAAAAGCGGAUUUUCUGCAAAAUUCUACUAGAAAUUGCUUCCAGAAUGGGGUUCUGAAUGCAGUAGCACCCUUUUUGAGCUGCUUUUGCCUAAACCCAGCCUACAAAAGCGGAUUUUCUGCAAAAUUCUACUAGAAAUUGCUUCCAGAAUGGGGUUCUGAAUACAGUAGCACCCCUUCUGAGCUGCUUUUGCCUAAACCCAGGCUCCAAAAGCGGAUUUUCUGCUAAAUUCUACUAGAAAUUGCUUCCAGAAUGGGGUUCUGAAUGCAAUAGCACCCUUUUUGAGCUCAUUUUACCUAAACCCAGCCUACAAAAGCCGGUUUUCUGCAAAAUUCCACGGCCAGAAAGCUUCCAAAAGGCAAUAGGAAGCAGCGCAAGGCAUGUAGAACGGAUUGCAGCAGCUACACCUGCAGAAUUUAGUGCAAAAUUUGUACCAAAAACGGUUUAGGUCCCAAAUUUUGGCACAAAAAGUGGGAUACUGCUUUCCCCCGCAUUUUAGGGCAAUAAAACGGCUUCAAAAAGGGGAAAUCUCGUUUCCCAGCUUUUCAUUCGACCAUAUUACACUAGAAUAUCGAAUUAUAAAGCGAUUUGUGGCCAAAUACGAGGAAGAAUGCACAGAAUAUCGGUCCCCGAUCGAAAUACCAUCGAUUUUAGGUGUAAAUGAUCACCAAUAAUGCCCCGCUGCAAUGGUUUGCUGGGUUUUUACCGCUAUCCCCAUGCGAUCUGCCCUUUUUUCAGCGCUUUUCGAGCGCAGUAGCCUUUUUAGUGGAAUCACAGGCAUAACGGGUGCAUCGCUAAUAGGUUUGCGGCCCCACCACCACAAAAAACCAAAAACGACGUUCCUUUUAAAUGCAAUACGCAAAAUUUUAUUGAAAUCUACAUAAAAAACAAUAUAUACAAUGCAAAAUGUAACUGUACAGCAAUUUAUAGGCCCUGCACGCUCCAUUCCGCUACUCUUCGCUCCAUAUGCUGCAUUUGUACGGCGGAUUCAUAGGGCUCUGCUUGCCGCAGCGGUAUGCCGUGGUGAAUUCCUCGAAAUUACUCACCACAUUAUUGACGCGCACGCAAUGCGCAUCGUGCAGAUUAUUGGAGGUUGACGCGCUUGUGCCGCACCACGUCUGCGCGAAGCUCAAGAAGAAUAGCUUCAGCUGCUCCACCGUUAGUGUGGCGUUUUCGCCCACACUGCGUCGGUAGGUCUCCAGAGAGAGGCGCAGGCCCUCCGUAUCGGCGAUAUUCUCAUUCAAUGUCACUUCUCCAUCAUCGUAACGCUCACUGAGGUAGCAACGCGAUUUGGUGCCAAAUUUUAUUAUGGCUUUGGCACCCCAGUUGCCCACCGCAUUUCCCGCCUGGUCGUAAUUGAGGCCGUCAUAAUCAAAGCCAUGCAUCAGCUCGUGCGCGAGGAUGUAGACGAAGCUACCGUAUAUUUUCGCGGGCUCCAGGCAGCUGUGGUAGAAGGGCGCGCGCAAAAUACCUAUAGGCAAUGCUAUAGCGUUCUUCUUCAGGCGAUAGUAGGCGUUCACAUCCAGUGGUCCGUAAUUGUUGUAGGCAGGCGGCGCGCUGCGUCCUGUCAACAGCGUCUCGAGAACUUCGUUCAGUUGGCUGUGCGUACGCCAGCGCCACAAUUUCAGCAAAUUCGCGUCAUGGUUGUCGCUCAGCGUUAUGGUGGAUGGCAAAUGAGCUUUGCUGGUGUUGGCCGCUUGCGGUAGCAGUAGACGCAUUGCGUGCAGCUUCUCCAUACCGCGCGAUUUGGUGAGCGCGUCGCGUUCAAAUACAUUCGUAGCGUUUAAUGCGCGUUCAAAUUGCAUUUUCAGCUGUGAGAAAAUGUCAUUUAAAGCGUUCUGCGUGUGCGCCAUAUAAUUAGCUGCAUCCCCUGUGUCACCGUACUGCAGGCGCAUGAAAAUCUCCGUUAGUUCCGCAGGCAGAAAGCUGUGCAGUUGUUGUAAGCAGUAGUCGCGCUGCUCUUGAUAGCUCUCCUCGUCGUGUAGACGCACCUCGAAGUGCGCCAAAAACUGCACAAGCAAAUAUUUAGCCAGCAACUCCGGUUUAGUGUGCUUCAACAAAUCGCGUAGCUUCCUUAGAUACGGUACAUCUGCCACAAUCAGCAGGCGAUCCGCGUAAUCGUUGGGCAACUCAACGGCUAUAUCGCGCACCACUACCGCGAAAUAUUCGCGCAAAUUCAACUCAGGCAGCUCUGCGGCCAAUGACGCCAGCGUUUGUGGCUCGCGCAAUAGCACCAAGCUCGCGCUAGGCACCAGCUCAAACAGUUGUUUCUCAAAUUCCACCACUUCGCUGGCAAGCGCUUGUGCGCGGCGUACUCGCAUACCCAAAUCCAACAUCAAAUAUUUCACAUACCGUUUGUAUAUGUACUCCGAGUCACUGUCGUAUUGCGCCGCGUUGCGCGUCGGUUUGAGCAAAUCGAAAGCGGGCGCCGAAAUGUAGAAAAUCUGCUGCUCUGCUUGCUGCCAGUUACUGGUGACUAGUAAUCGCCAUAACGACUGCACGCCAAAGCGACGCAGCUCCGCGCUCAGGUACGUGCCCCAGUUCAGUGUGUCGUUCGAGUCAAUCGCCUGCCAAUGGGGGUUCAGCACGGGCCAAUCGCUUAUGCGACGCAGCUCGUCGGUGUAUGUGCGCAACGCGACGGCUUCCACAUCCGAAUGCAAGCGCCCAGUAAAACCGUCCUCGUUAGUAACGCGAUCGACGCAUGCGUUGAAGAAACGCACCGCUACAUUUUCGCUGCGCUGAAGCGUUGAGCGCGUGUCUUUUUGCUCAAGCGCCUCUUGCUUGUCCAAUAGAAACGCCAUCAAUUGUUGUUUAUUAUCCGCUUUGACGGCGCUCAGUGUGUCGUGUGCACCGCGCGCGCGCAAUUGAUAUGGUGCACGCCAAUUACCGCAAGCGUAUUCAUAGAAGUCGUCGCAGGGCCACAUUACAUCGUCCACAUAAUUGUACAUGGUGUCCAGUUGGCGCGGCCAGUAAUCCGCUGCGCAGCUAGGCGGUGUAGCAUUACCGCUGGUAGGCGCGCUUGUGGACGUUGGUGUUGAGGUGCUUUGAUCCGCAUUUGCAUUCGUUGACACGCGCCCCUCUGUUGUCGCAACGGUCGCUGCGUAGACGUCACGAUUUACAUGACCUAGCAAGAGCAAGGUUAGCAGCAUCGUAGAAAAUAACACGCGCCGACAAAUAUUUCGCAUUUUGAUAGCACCGCUCACUUUUACGUACACUUUCACACUGAAUUCACUGUGCGCAUUUCACAGAAACGGAAUUAAAGGCGGUCUAACGCGUCGCUGAGCCACUGAUAAGCGAUUUAUACCGCUCUCAUUGAUGCUGUGUAGCUCAGCAGGCUUUCGCGAAUUGUUUUGUUUUGUAUACUGCUGAGGCAGCACAGAAGCUUAUCGCUUAACUGUAGCCCGUGAGAAUCCACACAAAUAGCUUUCAGCUGAUACGAUUUAUGAUUUUAUAGUGUAAAGUGUAAACAUAAUCAGCCGGAAUAUAGAAAGCUAUAUACUGUAUAUAUAUUUGAAUAUAUAUUGUGCGUUCUUAUCGGAAAUGCCGUGCUCUUGAAUGGAAAUUAGAAUUGAUAUUGAUCGGUGUCUAUAGACUCUAUAAAUAGCUUCUAUAUAACACAGAUCUAUAAUGUUAUUGAGAAAAUAUAUAAAACGGGAGUUUCAGCUUUGGAGUCAUAAAAUAAUUGUCGAUAAAAUUGAAAAAAAAAUUUAAUUAAGCAAAUAGUAAAAGUUAAAUUUUUCUCUAAAUAUGUAAAAAAUUAUGAAAUAAAAUAUAUGUAAAUUGUAUUAUCACAAUAAAAAUUGUAAGGCACAUAAUAAUAUGUGGAUGAAUUAAAAAAUUAA